AUUGAACGCUGGCGGCAUGCCUUAUGCAUGCAAGUCGAACGGCAGCGGGGGAGAAGCUUGCUUUUCCUGCCGGCGAGUGGCGAACGGGUGAGUAAUACAUCGGAACGUGCCCUGUAGUGGGGGAUAACUAGUCGAAAGAUUAGCUAAUACCGCAUACGACCUGAGGGUGAAAGUGGGGGACCGCAAGGCCUCAUGCUAUAGGAGCGGCCGAUGUCUGAUUAGCUAGUUGGUGGGGUAAAGGCCUACCAAGGCGACGAUCAGUAGCGGGUCUGAGAGGACGAUCAGCCACACUGGGACUGAGACACGGCCCAGACUCCUACGGGAGGCAGCAGUGGGGAAUUUUGGACAAUGGGCGAAAGCCUGAUCCAGCAAUGCCGCGUGUGUGAAGAAGGCCUUCGGGUUGUAAAGCACUUUUGUCCGGAAAGAAAUGGCUCUGGUUAAUACCUGGGGUCGAUGACGGUACCGGAAGAAUAAGGACCGGCUAACUACGUGCCAGCAGCCGCCGUAA
RNAcentral lists this ribosomal RNA (508 nucleotides) under uncultured bacterium. Its description in RNAcentral is "partial 16S ribosomal RNA". It matches the Rfam family "Bacterial small subunit ribosomal RNA", at positions 30 to 523 of the family's 1533-position model. The record is from RNAcentral.